GACGAACGCUGGCGGCAUGCCUAACACAUGCAAGUCGAGGGGCUCUUUCGGGAGUCACUGGCGCACGGGUGAGUAACACGUAGGUAAUCUGCCCCCAUCUCUGACACAACAGUUCUAACGGGCUGCUAAUAUCAGAUGAGGAGCUUCGGCUUCAAAGAGCGAUUGGAUGGGGAUGAGCCUGCGUCUGAUUAGGUAGUUGGUGAGGUAAUGGCUCACCAAGCCUUCGAUCAGUAGCUGGUCUGAGAGGACGAACAGCCACACUGGAACUGAGACACGGUCCAGACUCCUACGGGAGGCAGCAGUGAGGAAUAUUGGUCAAUGGGGUUACCCCUGAACCAGCAAUGCCGCGUGUGGGAUGACAGCGCUCUGCGUUGUAAACCACUGUCGGACGGGACGAGAAGAGGCAGAAGCCUCCGGGACGGUACCGUCAAAGGAAGGGUCGGCUAACUACGUG
RNAcentral lists this ribosomal RNA (454 nucleotides) under uncultured organism. RNAcentral's name for it is "bacterial SSU rRNA". It matches the Rfam family "Bacterial small subunit ribosomal RNA", at positions 28 to 507 of the family's 1533-position model. The record is from RNAcentral.